Molecule: transfer RNA, 87 nt
Filed under: Alphaproteobacteria bacterium
Lineage: Bacteria; Pseudomonadati; Pseudomonadota; Alphaproteobacteria
Also listed under: 1 other name
Description: tRNA-Leu
Rfam family: tRNA
About the family: Transfer RNA (tRNA) molecules are approximately 80 nucleotides in length. Their secondary structure includes four short double-helical elements and three loops (D, anti-codon, and T loops).
Source: RNAcentral
GCGGGCGUGGUGAAAUUGGUAAACACAAGGGACUUAAAAUCCCUCGGCCUCACAGCCUUGCCGGUUCAAGUCCGGCCGCCCGCACCA